AGUUAUUUAGCUUAUUUAAUAAAGUAUAUAUUUUGAAAAUAUAAGAAAGAAAAUUUUUAAUAACUU
RNAcentral lists this transfer RNA (66 nucleotides) under Krisna nigromarginata. Its description in RNAcentral is "tRNA-Ser". The record is from RNAcentral. Lineage: Eukaryota; Metazoa; Arthropoda; Insecta; Hemiptera; Cicadellidae.